AUCGCUUUGGCGUCUUAAAAAAAUACUUGUUUUCUCUUUCAAAAAUAACUUCACCCGAAAAACAGAUUAGAUUUAUUCUAUCUUACCAUAUUGGUUUGAUGAUAUAAUUAAUUAUAUAGGUUGUAAUAUUAUUCCAUAAUUUAUGAAUUGAUGUCCAUAGAAGAUAUAUGUACAUACAUAAUUAUUAAUGUAAACAUAUGAACAUUUAGUAUAUAAAUUAUAAAAAUAAAAAAUAAAUCAAAACCUCAAUUAAUAAUAAUAAUAAUAAUAAUAAUAAUAAUAAUAAUAAUAAUAAUAAUAAUAAUAAUAAUAAUAAUAAUUGGACAGUUAUAAUUGAACAUUUAAUAAUAAUAAUAAUAAAUAAAUAAAUAAAAUAAUAAAUAAAAUAAAAUAAAAGAAGAAACGGUUAACCGGCAUAGUCGUGGAGUAAUUCCUUCUCCCGUGUCGAAACAUCCCCUUUCCCCGCAUCAAAGUCGUCUCCACUUGCCCCGUCUGCGGUCUCCCGCUCAAAGCCAACUUAGCUUUCCCUUUUGCCGGCCGUGAUCAGCGACCGACUCCUGGUCGCGCAUUCCCGGCCUUUUCUUCGUUUGGAGCGCGACGAGUCCGCCGUCGCUCUUCGCGUUCCGAUCUCUCCCUUGUUAUCGUUGCCUUGGACAUAUUCUGAUGCCUUUGAAUCAGCAGCUGAGAUGACGGACUCUGCUUUUCUAAGGUUAUUAUUUUCCGUAGCCAUCUGGUGCAUUGCCUAUGCUGUGGUUGCAGUUCAAAUGUCUAUCCGACUCUUCAAUUUCAAUCGUUCCUCCUUGAACUAGUAUUGAUUUCAGCAAAUAUACAGUGCGACUCAAGCUUUUUGACUGAAGAUUGGUUGCAGUUGGUUUUCAGCUUCUGAAAGCGUUCUGCUAUCCUCAAAUUGCUUAGUGGUUGUAAAAAUGAACAUAUGGAAUUGAACUUUUUUUUUUUUAAUUUCACUGCAUAUGCAAUAUAUGCUUCUACUGUAAUCGGUGGCUUUUCAGAGAUGUAAUGAUCGAUUGUGAUUCUUUCAA
This is a long non-coding RNA of Musa acuminata AAA Group (dessert banana), 1040 nucleotides long. RefSeq lists it as uncharacterized. Lineage: Eukaryota; Viridiplantae; Streptophyta; Magnoliopsida; Zingiberales; Musaceae. The record is from RefSeq and is a predicted model, not a curated record. The transcript has 3 exons.